CCUACGGGAGGCAGCAGUGAGGAAUAUUGGUCAAUGGCCGAGAGGCUGAACCAGCCAAGUCGCGUGAGGGAAGAAUGUCCUAAGGAUUGUAAACCUCUUUUGUCGGGGAGCAAAAAGGCUCUGCGGAGUCGUAUUGAGAGUACCCGAAGAAAAAGCAUCGGCUAACUCCGUGCCAGCAGCCGCGGUAAUACGGAGGAUGCGAGCGUUAUCCGGAUUUAUUGAGUUUAAAGGGUGCGCAGGCGGGCAUUUAAGCCGGCGGUCAAAUGUCGGGGCUCAACCCCGGCCUGCCGUCGGAACUGGGUGCCUUGAGUGGGCGAGAAGUAUGCGGAAUGCGUGGUGUAGCGGUGAAAUGCAUAGAUAUCACGCAGAACCCCGAUUGCGAAGGCAACAUACCGGCGCCCUACUGACGCUGAGGCACGAAAGUGCGGGUAUCGAACAGGAUUAGAUACCCCAGUAGUC
This 459-nucleotide ribosomal RNA is filed under the name uncultured bacterium. Its description in RNAcentral is "partial 16S ribosomal RNA". It matches the Rfam family "Bacterial small subunit ribosomal RNA", at positions 338 to 795 of the family's 1533-position model. The record is from RNAcentral.